GUCUACAGCCAUGCCACCCUGAACAAGCCCGAUCCCAUCUGAUUUCAGAAGCCUCGGAAGCUAAGCAGGGUUGGGCCUGGUUAGUACUUGGAUGGGAGGCCACCUUGGAAGACCAAGUGCUAUAGGUA
RNAcentral lists this ribosomal RNA (128 nucleotides) under Pteropus alecto (black flying fox). The record is from RNAcentral. Lineage: Eukaryota; Metazoa; Chordata; Mammalia; Chiroptera; Pteropodidae.